RNAcentral lists this ribosomal RNA (467 nucleotides) under uncultured ciliate. RNAcentral's name for it is "SSU rRNA". It matches the Rfam family "Eukaryotic small subunit ribosomal RNA". The record is from RNAcentral. Lineage: Eukaryota; Ciliophora.
AUUUGUCUGGUUAAUUCCGAUAACGAACGAGACCUUAACCUGCUAACUAGUUCUCAAUACUCUGUAUUCUGCAACUUCUUAGAGGGACUAUGUAAAUCAAUUACAUGGAAGUUUGAGGCAAUAACAGGUCAGUGAUGCCCUUAUAUGUCCUGGGCUGCACGCGUGCUACACUGAUGCAUACAACAAGUGCCUAGCCAGACAUGGUAUGGCAAUCUCGAAUAUGCAUCGUGAUGGGGAUAGAUCUUUGCAAUUAUAGGUCUUGAACGAGGAAUUCCUAGUAAGUGCAAGUCAUCAUCUUGCAUUGAUUAUGUCCCUGCCCUUUGUACACACCGCCCGUCGCUCCUACCGAUACCGGGUGAUCCGGUGAACCUUUUGGACUCCGUACGGGGGAAGAUAAGUAAACCAUAUCACCUAGAGGAAGGAGAAGUCGUAACAAGGUUUCCGUAGGUGAACCUGCRGAAGGAUCA